Molecule: small nuclear RNA, 191 nt
Organism: Symsagittifera roscoffensis
Lineage: Eukaryota; Metazoa; Xenacoelomorpha; Acoela; Convolutidae
Product: U2 spliceosomal RNA
Exons: 1
Source: RefSeq, a predicted model, not a curated record
AUCGCUCCUCGGCCUUUUGGCUAAGAUCAUGUGUAGUAUCUGUUCUUAUCAGCUUAAUAUCUGGCAUGCUGGGCAUUGCUUGGCACCAAUAUUAAACUGAUUUUUGCUUCUCGAGUUUACACCGAAGCUUGCUUCAGUUGACUCACGGAUUUUUCCAAUCUCGAACUACCAUCAUGAUAUGUCUGCUUCAG